This 494-nucleotide ribosomal RNA is filed under the name uncultured bacterium. RNAcentral's name for it is "partial 16S ribosomal RNA". It matches the Rfam family "Bacterial small subunit ribosomal RNA", at positions 28 to 507 of the family's 1533-position model. The record is from RNAcentral.
GACGAACGCUGGCGGCGCGCUUAACACAUGCAAGUCGAACGGAAAGGCCUGCUUUCCCUUGUGGAUUGCGGGUACUCGAGUGGCGAACGGGUGAGUAACACGUGAGUGAUCUGCCCCCAACUUGGGUAUAAGCCUGGGAAACUGGGUCUAAUUCCCGAUAGGACUGCAGGGUGGUGCCUGUGGUGGAAAACGAUUUUCUAGUGGUUGGGGAUGAGCUCGCGGCCUAUCAGCUUGUUGGUGGGGUAAUGGCCUACCAAGGCGGCGACGGGUAGCCGGCCUGAGAGGGUGGACGGCCACAUUGGGACUGAGAUACGGCCCAGACUCCCACGGGAGGCAGCAGUGGGGAAUAUGGCACAAUGGGCGGAAGCCUGAUGCAGCGACGCCGCGUGGGGGAUGACGGCCUUCGGGUUGUAAACUCCUUUCGACCGCGAGGAAGCCACCUGGUUGGAAGGGUGGUGACGGUAGUGGUAGAAGAAGCACCGGCUAACUACGUG